RNAcentral lists this ribosomal RNA (440 nucleotides) under uncultured bacterium. Its description in RNAcentral is "bacterial SSU rRNA". It matches the Rfam family "Bacterial small subunit ribosomal RNA", at positions 339 to 796 of the family's 1533-position model. The record is from RNAcentral.
CUACGGGAGGCAGCAGGGAGGAAUAUUGGGCAAUGGGCGAAAGCCUGAUCCAGCCAUGCCGCGUGAGUGAUGAAGGCCCUAGGGUUGUAAAGCUCUUUCGCCAGGGACGAUAAUGACGGUACCUGGAUAAGAAGCCCCGGCUAACUUCGUGCCAGCAGCCGCGGUAAUACGAAGGGGGCUAGCGUUGUUCGGAAUCACUGGGCGUAAAGCGCACGUAGGCGGAUCUUUAAGUCAGGGGUGAAAUCCCGAGGCUCAACCUCGGAACUGCCUUUGAUACUGGAGGUCUCGAGUCCGGGAGAGGUGAGUGGAACUGCGAGUGUAGAGGUGAAAUUCGUAGAUAUUCGCAAGAACACCAGUGGCGAAGGCGGCUCACUGGCCCGGUACUGACGCUGAGGUGCGAAAGCGUGGGGAGCAAACAGGAUUAGAUACCCCAGUAGUCC